Molecule: transfer RNA, 56 nt
Filed under: Steganacarus magnus
Lineage: Eukaryota; Metazoa; Arthropoda; Arachnida; Sarcoptiformes; Steganacaridae
Description: tRNA-Pro
Source: RNAcentral
GGAAAAAUAAAAAUAAAAAAAUUUCUUUAUUUAGGAUUUACAAAAUCCAAAUGUUA